UGUGAGCACCUGAGGCUGCAGACUGGCCCCACAGGGAAGGACGGCUGGUGCUGUGGGGCGCUGGGAGUCGUGGCAGUGCCUGCAGGGGGUGGAGACAAGGCAGCAGGCCCCCCAUUAGCACCAUGCUUCUGGGGAUCCUCGUGGUGCUCUGCUUCAUCCCCACUGCUGAUGUAACAGAAAACAAGAUUUUAGUGGCUCAGCAUCCUUUGCUCAUUGUAGCUAACCGAACUGCAACUCUAGUUUGCAACUACACAUACAAUGGAACAGGGAAAGAAUUUCGAGCUUCGCUACACAAAGGAACGGACAGUUCAGUUGAAGUUUGCUUUAUCUCAUGGAACACAACCAAAAUUAGCAGCAAUUCAAAUAAAGAAUUCAACUGCCAGGGGUAUCAUGAUAAAGAUAAAGUCAUCUUCAGUCUUUGGAACAUGAAUGCCAACCAAACUGACAUCUACUUCUGCAAAAUUGAGGUCAUGUAUCCACCCCCAUAUGUCUACAAUGAGAAGAGCAACGGGACUGUCAUUCAUGUGAAAGAGACACCCACCCAAAUACAAGAGCCUCAGUCUGCAAUUCCUUUGUGGAUUCUGGCAACAGUGACUGGAAUUCUUGCACUCUACAGUAUGCUAAUAACUGCAGUGUUUAUUAACUACUGGCAAAAAUUCAAAAACAAUAUGUACCAUCAGAGUGACUACAUGAACAUGAUUCCCCGGCACCCACCAUACCAGAAGAACAAGGGUUACCCAUCCUAUGCCCCAACACGAGACUACACCGCGUACCGGUCCUGGCAGCCCUGAUCCCACCAGGAGCCUCGUGUGUUUCUGGGCAGUCACUUCCUCUGGGGCAUGGAAGGACAGCCUCUCAUUUUCUCGUGUUUGUUUCUGUUGACCACGGACACGUACAUCAUAGCAAGUAUUAACUAGACUUUGAUCUGCUAAAAGAAAAUCCAGACCAACAAACCAAUAUAAAAAGGGGGAGUAGUAAAAAAACAAAAAAUUUUCUCCAUGAUGGCUGAAAAUGAGGCCCAGCUUGUGUUGAGGGUUGUCAGUGGAUGAAAAGAUAGCAUCAGACGUCAGAGCUGGUUUCUUCCUAACACUUGUGGUUUUGCUCAGCUGUUGGAAGAAGCAGAACUUCUGAUAUUUUCCAAUAACUGCUGCCUUGGAUUUAACCCUUAAUUUCCUUCUCUGUACGUGUAGUCUUCAGAGAGUUGCUGUUAAACCUGGCAAAAUGUAAAAAAUAAUCUUUUUUUCUCUAUAAGACAAAGACACAGUUUGAAGUUCAAAAUACGUACUUAAAGAAGAAAAGGUGAGUCAGAAGGCAUCCAAGCUAUUAUGCUAUGAAACAAUUGAUCUGCCAGGACAAAUCAAGCUAAGAGAAAACUAGUAAACCUUUAACAUGUGAGUCCUUAGGCUGGACACUGUAAAAGUUCAUAAGGCCAUCUGCAGUCAUGACCAAGCAACUCCACAGACUGAAAAAGCAAGCAACCUGAAGACAAAAUCAAGACAAGUGGGAGAAGAAGAAAAAUUUGUCUUCAUCAUGAGCAAUCCCAUUUCUUUUUUGUUUGCCUCCUGCAUCAAGGGAAUGCAAAGUCAUACAUAAAGCAUUAGGAGAGAGAGAGCUCAGAUUUUGAGAAGAUUUUUACUUUUAUUUUUGAAUUUGAGAAUUCAAAAGGUAUUCUCCUAAGUCCUCCUGAAAAUUCAUGCAUAUCUCCUGGCCCAUAGGUUGUACCACAGCUCUUUCAAAAAUCUGGUUCAACUUAUAAGCAACUGAACAGCACUUCAUUUUUUUUCCCAUAAGUGUCCAGUUUUUGGGGUGUGAGAGGAUUCUUCAUUCUCAGCAUUGUAAAUUGGACCCGCAAGUUCUCAGACAUCUGCAGGAUCUGCUCUGAGCACUUUGAGGAACUUUGUGCUAUCUGGAAGUUACUUUUCUCUCUAAAGAUGUUCUUCAGGGCUGCUCCAUGCCAGAGUAGGACGAAGUCUUUAGCAAAACAUGAUCCAUUCUUUCAAUCUAGUGAAUUUACAAUAACAGGACAUCCUAAAUUGUAAUUGGGGUUCCCUUGGCAUAAAAUCCCUUUUCAUACUGAGGAGACAAUGUUUAUUCUAUAAAGACUACUGAAUAAACAAAAGAAAAAAGCAACGCAUUCCCACCUUGAAAUAAAAUUUGGAUGGUACAACAUUUAAUUUCUUUCAAAUUGGAUAAGAAGAUUCUUUCUCUCUUUGAGGAGACAAGACAAAAGUAGAGAUGUGGAAGCAUGACAACAAUCUGCUUUGAUGUCUUAACCCAAGAAAACAACUUUGGUACUUCCAAAUUGGAAGUUUUAUUUGAGUUUGCUGACCGGGCCACGAAUCUUCCACUCUGAGUCUUCUAUCACCACGAACCAUGUUCCUGGAGGGUGCUGUACCACCUCUGAGAAGCAGUGAGGUGCUCCCUGCCCCAGCCAGGGACAGCAGAGCCCCAAUGGCAAUGUGUCAAAUGAACAUCAGAUCUGCAGUCAUCACAUCUGAACAGCAAUCAACAUAUGUUGCAAGGGGUCAACCAAGGGUUGUGCAGCUCCUGUAUGCUGAUUCCUGUUCUGCACGUCUCCAGCACAGCACAAUACAACAGCCUGGCUAUUCUUUGCUUCCAGGAACCAAAGCCCUAGAAGACAAAUGCCGAGGAGGUAGCCUGUGUUAUCUCUGCAGUGUCUUGAACCUUCCCCAUUGGGGUGGUCAGGCUUACUAAAGCCAAAAGUCUUGGACAUUCCUUCAAGUCUGAAUAUUCCAAAUUCUAAUAUCAUCCUCCUGUAUAACAUUUUUUCCAAAACGCCUCUUUUUUCUUCUGUAGCUAAAAAUGUGAACCCUGCAUCUCUGCCAAACAAUAUCAUAUCUUCCUUCUUUGUGCAUCAUCUUUUCCCUUUUGUUUCUAUUCCAGACUCAGCAGUUCAGGAACCCAUCCUAUUUGUUAACCUCUAACACCAUUGUGCAGCCUUCCACAUGUACUCCUGUCUGACUGGUUACUUGACUCACAAAGACCAUCUUGUAUGCCACAUUCCUCCUCAGCUAGGGAUAUGGAGUUGCCAUAGGAGACUGAAGCCAUGGGGUGAUUGGAUGGGUACAUAUUUUCUCUUUGAAGGAUUUGGGGGUGUUUCAUACCUUUGAUUUUUCCCAUUUUUCAAAUUUUCAGUUGUGCCAAAAAGCCACGUGGGGGUCCCACAGACCACAUGCUUCCCACAGUGCAUUUAAUUUCUGUACAUUUCAUUUCCUGUGCAAAGCAGGUUCUAGGCUAUUGCCAAGUUCAUUAUGCAUGCAGACAUGCUCUGACAGCAGAAGCAACUUUGGCUACUGAUGGUAUGUUUGACUAAUAAAAACACGGUACAAAAAUAUUGAGUUUGAAGAGCACACAGGCAAAGUCCUCAGUGCUAAAGAUCAAAUCUUUCCACUUUCAGCAAGGGUUUUGCUGUGUGACUGGAAAAUGUGUUGUACAAGAUGAAUCACAGGCUAAGACAUCAUUUCGUUAGUCACUCAUACUAACCAGAAAACAGGUUAGGGUGAUUAGAACGGGACUAGCAUUGUUAAGGUCCAGUAAAGACUGGUAAAGGCUGAAAACAGCACUAGGUUGUUUUGUAGCCAAAGUCAGUGUCUUUAAGUGGCUGUGAGAGGGAAACUAGCUGCUUAAGUUGAUGCAAAUGGACUGUUCUUCACAAUUAGGUGUAUUUGUUAGAGCAUCAUGUUACAAUAUGUUACAAUUCCAGCCUCAAGGGCAUGCAGAUAGAAUGAUGUGGCAAAUUUGGCUGAAAAAAGUAUUAGGAGGCUGCCAAUUCCAUAUUAACCCAUUUGCAAAGAAACAAAAAGUUGAAUGAUCUCAAAUUCAUGGUGGGUUUUUUGUUUGUUUUUUUUCUUUUUUCUUUUUCUUGCUGGAUCUUCAGGAUCAAGGCACUGGUUCUUAUUUCCUGCUCCUCUUGCUGUUGUUUUAUUAAGAAUUAAAUAUAACUUUAGAUUACAUAAACUUACCAGGAGCUCUUCAGUUUCAUUCAUCUGACCAUUGAAAUUAUGAGGAGUUUUCAAAUGCCACAGUUUUCAUAGCCAUUGUAUCAUUAUCUGGCUACAUCAUUCCUUUUCCUCAUUGUCUUCUUAUUCCUUCAAGGGAACUAUUCUGGAUUGAUUGAAAUGUUCUCAUGUGUUGAAACAAAUCUGGUUUUUCAAACAGGAAAGAUUACUACCUAACCAGCAAAAUCAAAGAUGCAAGCAAGCAAUUCGUAAGAGUUCUGUGGAAAUUAACGUAGUGGUUUCAAUCUGAUAGGAGGAUCAAAUAGCCUUUUUAUAAUAUCCUCCUCUAAAAUAAAGAAGCUUAAGAAAUCAUAUACUAAAAUACCUUAAAAGACAAGAGAUCAGGCUGCGAAAUUAAGAAAUCAAAGGCGGGAAAUGCCAGAAGGAAGCUUUCCUAUCCAGCCUCCCUUCUGCCCCGCUGUGUGACCGGAGUGACUCUUUAACUAGCAUUUCCCCCUGCUAAGCCGAGCCCAGGCUGAGCGGGGCGGUCCCGCUGUCUCGCAGCGCUGCAGGAAAGCUCCGGCUGGGGCCGGAGCAGGCGCGCAGCGAGUGACAGAUUCCGACAGCAGCUCAAGUUGUUGUCAUGGAGGGCUGCAGCAGGGCACAACUAGCAAUCAGGCUAGCUUAGAUAAUAGCUAAAUUAGUGCCCGACAGCCUCGUCAGUGCCCCACUAAAUUAGAUCACUGUCGUGAGUCAGAACGAACGAUUUUUUCUGCUAUGCUCGCUGCCUGUGACAGCCCUUGGGCUACUUUAAUCUUCAAACACCAGUGGUCAAGAUGAGAGCUGAUUUAUUUUUUUCCCUCAUGAAAAUGAUUAAGUAGAUUACUCACAUUUCUUCCUGGGUUUCUUAGCCUUCCACAGACAAAUCAAAACUGGCUGCAGAACAAAAAUUUUUUCUCUGUUGGCAUAGCUCAUCAGCUCCUGAUACUUACGGACAGAGGCUGAAGUCCAGGGUGGAAUGACACCUUCGAGAGCAUUAUGCCCUCCUUGUAGCUCUUUCUCUCAUUAGCUGAUUGUUGAAAUAAUGCCAAUGUUUUAUCUUAACAACAAAAAAGUAUGAGACUAUGAAGAUACAGAAUUGGACAGCAGGGGAAUAACCUCUGUCCCUCCUGCAGACACACAGUUGAUGCUGCUUUCAAGUCCAGCCCUGUGACGGAGCAAUUCAUCAGUAAGGAUGGGAGAAGCAAAAGGGGUUAAAGGAGAAAUCACUCUGAAACCUCUUCAGUGAAAUUCUGGAACAAUCCCUCAGGGAAUGGAAAUGAACAAGCCAGCUGUAGGAUGUACUUCACAACUCACACUUUUGCCUCUCCCUAGCCAUACACUAGAAAUAACUCUUAAAACACCCUAGUCCUUCUUGCCUCAAGAACUACUUUUUACUGUUUGGCCACUCUGCAUUAUUGAGACAUAAACUGCAUUGAUGGUGAAAGCCAGGUUAGUUCCUGUGUGUGGACUUAGGUGCACAGUCAACUCCCAAGAAACUCUUGAGAUGAAAGCACAAAAUAUGUUCAAAGGGCAAUGGGCAAGCAAACUGGCUGGAAAAGUAGGAUAGAUGAAUGGCUGUCUGCAGGAAAAGUGAAGUUAAGCAACUCCAGAGCUUUCCUCCAGCAACUAGAGAAACACAUUAGUUUGAGCUGCAGCUGCAGUGGAUUUCCUCCAGUAAAAGCAGCUCUUGGAAUGAUGAAGUGAUUAUUUCAGGACAUUUAAUUAAAAAUAACCAUAUUAGGCAAAAAAGAUUUUGAAAUACCCUUAUUUCUGCUUUUUCUGUGCUAAAUGAUUACUUACUUACAAAUACUACACUUAACCUGCAGUAUGAGCUUUUUAAAAUUAGUGUUCCUUUGUUGUCCCUUUUUUUAAAUUUUUUUUUUAGUUAAAAUUUGUAUUAAGGUGUUUAUAUUGUAGUUCUGCAAUCUUAUUUCAAACCACUGAGGCAGAGGCAAAAUGAGGACUGGGAUAUAGGCAGGGGACAAAUAGACCGCAGCUCAGUCCAGUCCCAGCAUGGCAGUUCCCACAUACUGUAAAAAGACUUCAGGUACAAAGUGGAGUUCAAAGAGUCCACAGAUUACAAGAGCAACCUGGUGAAGAAAUGUCAGUUAGAAAUGAGCAGCAGAAACCAGCUCUAUUUUCCUACUGCUGUGGCUUUGCUUGGUGACGAUGACAUACAAAGAUUAAGCCUUACUGCAUGAGUUCCAGUGGUUUAUCUCCUGUUUUAUCAUCGCCAGUAAGUGAAGGAGAUGUGUGGGUGUCACCUGCAAAAAAAAAAGAGGUUGCAUUUCUGAGAGAAAAACAUCUGCAGAUCCAAAAAGGCAAAUGGUCUUGUUUAAUUCAUGCAUAUCCAGUUUCCUUCCUGUCACUAAUCUGCAGCAAUGAAUUUAGUCUCCAGGAUUUCCUUAGCUUUAUUAUGCUGAGAGAGAGUGCAAGAGAGAGUGAGACAGAAAGACUUGAGCAAUAUUAAGCGCCCGGAAUGACUUCAAUCACUGAGGUCAUUUGUUAAUCACUAAGAUAGCCUGGCUCCCAGGGCAUGGAGUUUGAUUUUCCCUCCCCGCCCCUCCAAUCUGCUGAACUAUGGAGAUUUGCAACAAGAAAAGCUAUCUGCUGUGCAAUCAAUUUACAGAAUAACAUUUUGUUUGGUCUGCUAUUGAUGGAAGCUAGCAGAAACUGGAAGCCCUGGGUUCAUGACACAAGUGUUAGAAUCCAUGUAGAUGUGGUUUUUCUGCCCUUGCAAGUUUAUGUCUGUGACAGAAUGAACCUCUGCACACAGUUAAACACUGCUUGCUGCAUACAUUGCACAGAAAUCACUACUUUAAAAAGAGAUUUAAAACAAAGGCAUCUCCUACAUUGGAUACGGAGGGAAACUACACAUAUGGACAUGUAAACAACUGUACAAACACAGAUGCAAGCUUUGGUCUUUCCUCUCCAUUAUUAUGUAUGUAUGUAAAUAUAAAAUUAAAAAAAACAAGCCAGUGAGCAUAUGUCUUGGAUUGCACAUCAAGCACAGUAUGCUCACUGCAUCUAAGGUAUCUCUAGAUUAAUAAUGUUUCACUUGGCUGUGUGCUGACUUGUCUGGAUCAACUUACUAGCCACUGAGAUAUAAGAAGUAUCAGAAAAAUUAUAAAUUCAGACUAUCUGUAUUUAGAAGUAAGACUUUCCUACACCUCCAAAUUUGCUGUAAUUUGCUUUAGCUCUGGACUGGAGAGAUAUUCAUAAGACUUUUAUCACUAAGCCCAAUGAGAGCACUGAUAAACAUCCCUUUUGAUGGCAGAUCAGAGAGUGGGUUCCCUGUGGCUCUCGUACAGCUAUUCUAAUUGUCAAAAGUGCAUGUUGUACUCUUCUUGUGCCCCAGCUACAGCUCAGGAAAACCAAGGUCUUGACUAACCCUUCUUGCCCAAAUCCAAAAUACAACAUUCACCUUCCCCACUAAAUAGACCUUUUUAUAAAAAUUAAACUCACUUGUUCUCGAUAGCUGCCAUAAUGAAUGCUUGGUCAAUAAAGAUUAACUCCUUGUUCUUGCAAACAACAAGUUCUUGUGCCUGUUUACCGAUGGAAGGAAUCCAAUUGAUGUAUCAUUAGUUGUGUGAGGAAGUUGCACAUCUGUACAACUUGGUGUGGGAGUGUCUUCUUCCUUCAUAUAAAUGGUGGGUUACAAUGUGGGUCAACAAACUAAUGUUUAGCACUUUUGACUACUGAAGAGCAGAAGAAAAGAUCAGAACCAAAAAUCUGUGAAAUCUGAGGCACCAAUCAAUUCAGUGCUGCCUCUGUUGAAUGACACGAGCACUAGCAGCUGAGUAGCACUCUCAGAUCCCUUAGGAUUGAGUUCAUGCUGUAAUCUCUCCAAGUUUAGCAUUUCAUAUGCGUAUAGAUUGCAAAGGCACAGGAAAAUCCUAAAGGAUCCAAGACAGUGGGAAAAUACAGAGAAACAAAGGGUUUUACUUGCUAAAGGCAAACUGGUUUUGUGCUGACAACAGGAAACAAGAGACAGUGCAAAGGAUGUUGUGGCCGUUGGAAGGGCCGCCACUGUAGCUACUGUGCGUACCUGGGUGACUCAUCAUCACGGUGACACUGGCUUGCACUCUAAAGUCCCUCCUCUCCCAGCUGCAGCCAGCUGGCUCAUCCUGCCUGGCCUCUCCAUGUUUCAUCUCUGCUAGGUUAUCAUCUGGAAAGCACUUGGGCUGGCACUAGGUUGGACUAGAUACUGGAGUUGUGAAUAUACAUGUGACACAUGCAGGAGUGACACACCAGUCCUUGCUUGAGGAGACGAGAAAUGGAAAAAGAAAGUGAAGGAGGAAGCAGAGGUGUGGUGCUUAUGCACAUGUACAUAAUUCAGCAGUUGUGAGGACAGAAAGUACAACUGCAACGUUUCUCACACUGCUUGUAAACUCCACCCACUGCACCCACCAUGGGUACAAGUGCAUCUUGUGGGGGACUCACUGCUCCACAGGAACUAGAGGGGCUAAUUAUUUCAUCACUCAUAAAGCUUCAGGAUUGGGAUUUUUUUUGUAAUGA
RNA transcript from Pseudopodoces humilis (Tibetan ground-tit), 8519 nucleotides. It is a transcript of the gene named CD28 molecule, with no coding region annotated. The record is from RefSeq and is a predicted model, not a curated record. Lineage: Eukaryota; Metazoa; Chordata; Aves; Passeriformes; Paridae.